GAUGAACGCUGGCGGCGUGCCUAAUACAUGCAAGUCGAGCGAACGGACGAGAAGCUUGCUUCUCUGAUGUUAGCGGCGGACGGGUGAGUAACACGUGGAUAACCUACCUAUAAGACUGGGAUAACUUCGGGAAACCGGGGCUAAUACCGGAUAAUAUUUUGAACCGCAUGGUUCAAAAGUGAAAGACGGCUUUGCUGUCACUUAUAGAUGGACCCGCGCUGCAUUAGCUAGUUGGUAAGGUAACGGCUUACCAAGGCAACGAUGCUUAGCCGACCUGAGAGGGUGAUCGGCCACACUGGAACUGAGACACGGUCCAGACUCCUACGGGAGGCAGCAGUAGGGAAUCUUCCGCAAAGGGCGAAAGCCUGACGGAGCAACGCCGCGUGAGUGAUGAAGGUCUUCGGAUCGUAAAACUCUGUUAUUAGGGAAGAACAUAUGCGUAAGUAACUGUGCACAUCUUGACGGUACCUAAUCAGAAAGCCACGGCUAACUACGUG
Molecule: ribosomal RNA, 497 nt
Filed under: uncultured bacterium
Lineage: Bacteria
Description: partial 16S ribosomal RNA
Rfam family: Bacterial small subunit ribosomal RNA
Source: RNAcentral